RNAcentral lists this ribosomal RNA (376 nucleotides) under uncultured bacterium. Its description in RNAcentral is "bacterial SSU rRNA". It matches the Rfam family "Bacterial small subunit ribosomal RNA", at positions 28 to 408 of the family's 1533-position model. The record is from RNAcentral.
GAUGAACGCUAGCGGCAGGCUUAAUACAUGCAAGUCGAGCGGUAGGUGGCUUCGGCCAUUGAGAGCGGCGCACGGGUGAGUAACGCGUACAUGACCUGCCUGUCAGAAGGGGGAUAGCCCUGGGAAACUGGGAUUAAUACCCUAUGGUAUUGAUAUUAUGAAUGAUAUCAAUUAAAGUUGAGGCGCUGACAGAUGGAUGUGCGUCUGAUUAGCUAGUUGGUAGGGUAACGGCCUACCAAGGCGACGAUCAGUAGGGGGCGUGAGAGCGUGGUCCCCCACACGGGUACUGAGACACGGACCCGACUCCUACGGGAGGCAGCAGUAGGAAUAUUGGUCAAUGCCCGCAAGGGUGAACCAGGCCAUUCCGCGUGGAGGA